AGAUCAUUUGUGUGUGUGACGGAUGGAUUCCCGCCGCUGAUUUGACUACUUUACACGUUUUAUAAGCUCUUCACGAGUUCCCAGCUGGCCAAAAUACCAUCACAUGCAGGCUACGCACCGCUACGCAUACACAACGAGUGCAUUUACCUCAGAAAACAGCAUUGUUUUGGAUGUUAGGUAAGUUCCGUCUCAAAAUAGGCAAUACGUCAUAAAAUCUGACCAAUCACGUUGUGAAUGUAUCCCUAUGCCUUAUGGUUCGGUAUCUUUUGGUUCGGUGAUAAAAUUGCCAAUCUGAACGCUAACCGGACCAGGACUAAAUGUUUUUUUUUCUUCUUUGGUCCGGACCAAACGAACCGAACUACAAGUGUGAACGCACCCUGAGAGUCCACAACAGCAGUGUUGUAUUGAUUUAGCCCAAUCGUUACAUGACCUGGUUAUACAAUUAAAAUCUUUUUCCGUUUAGAUCAUGUUUGCAAAAAGCUGAUCAAGAACAUAAGGAGCAGGGAGUGGAGCAGCGUUUUCACAAGCAAAAUUCUGCUGCUGACCCAGAGGAUGGAGUGGAAGUACCAGAUAUCCAUCAGAGAAGAAUUUAUUUCGUUCAGACAUAUCACCUUUGAAUGACUGGGAUCUUGAUCUUCAGACACCUAAUAUUAUGCAAAUAUUUUACUUUCUUUAGCGCUCUAGAUUAAAACAAACACAGCUCAGAAAUAAAUAAGAUGUUGUACUUUACUCCUAUUACUCGAUGCUGAUCUUGGAUAAACAAGAAUUAAGAUAACCCAUCUCUGAGUCCAUGUAAUGCAAAUGAAUAUGUAUUUUAAAAAGGUUACACUUUAAAAACCACACACAGUGACUGUGACAGUUAUCUAUACAACCCCAGUGAAGUAAAACAAUAGGUAACUAUUUACCAUCGCUUCUGACUAACUGCAUGCUACAAUCUACUUGAAUAUGGACUCACAGAGAUUGAUUAUUUUCUUAAAAAGCAGUGUUUAUAUGAAGAAAGUAAUAUAGUACAUCUUGGAUGGCAUGAAAGACUAUUAACAAAGACAUAUAUUGCACUCCCCUACCACAUAUUGUACCCACUGUCACUGUUUUAUUUUUACUGUGACAGUAACUGUUUAAAUGAUCUCUGCAUCAUUAAAAUAAAACAUUUUACACAUA
Long non-coding RNA from Megalobrama amblycephala (Wuchang bream), 1158 nucleotides. RefSeq lists it as uncharacterized. The transcript is spliced from 2 exons. NCBI's taxonomy places the organism in Eukaryota, Metazoa, Chordata, Actinopteri, Cypriniformes, Xenocyprididae. The record is from RefSeq and is a predicted model, not a curated record.